Molecule: ribosomal RNA, 243 nt
Filed under: uncultured bacterium
Lineage: Bacteria
Description: partial 16S ribosomal RNA
Rfam family: Bacterial small subunit ribosomal RNA
Source: RNAcentral
UAACGCGUGAGCAAUCUGCCUUUGGAUGGGGGAUAACAGCCGGAAACGGCUGCUAAUACCGCAUAAUGCAACGGGACCGCAUGGUUCUGCUGCCAAAGAUUUAUUGUCCAAAGAUGAGCUCGCGUCUGAUUAGCCAGUUGGCGGGGUAACGGCCCACCAAAGCGACGAUCAGUAGCCGGACUGAGAGGUUGAACGGCCACAUUGGGACUGAGACACGGCCCAGACUCCUACGGGAGGCAGCAG